GGCUAACUCCGUGCAAGACGCGUGGGGAAUACGGAGGACCCAAUGUUGAUCCCAAAUCAUGUGGUUUUAAGGGUACGUAGGCGGCCUGAUAAGUCAGCGGUGAAAUUGUUUUGCUUAACUAAAAAAGUGCCAUUGAUACUGUAGGGCUUGAAUAUUUGUGAAGUAACUAGUAUAGGUAUUGUAGCCGUGAAAUGCUUAGAUAUUACAUGGAAUACCAAUUGCGAAGGCAGGUUACUAACAAAUGAUUGACGCUGAUGGACGAAAGCGUGGGUAGCGAACAGGAUUAGAUACCCGUGUAGC
RNAcentral lists this ribosomal RNA (300 nucleotides) under uncultured Staphylococcus sp. RNAcentral's name for it is "bacterial SSU rRNA". It matches the Rfam family "Bacterial small subunit ribosomal RNA", at positions 495 to 794 of the family's 1533-position model. Lineage: Bacteria; Bacillati; Bacillota; Bacilli; Caryophanales; Staphylococcaceae. The record is from RNAcentral.